AUUGCAGAACACAUUGAACAUCAACAUCUUGAACGCAUAUGGCGGCCUCGGGUCCAUCCCGGGGCCACGCCCGUCUGAGGGUCGGCG
RNAcentral lists this ribosomal RNA (87 nucleotides) under Stereophaedusa japonica. Its description in RNAcentral is "Phaedusa japonica partial 5.8S ribosomal RNA". It matches the Rfam family "5.8S ribosomal RNA", at positions 71 to 154 of the family's 154-position model. From Rfam's summary of the family: 5.8S ribosomal RNA (5.8S rRNA) is a component of the large subunit of the eukaryotic ribosome. It is transcribed by RNA polymerase I as part of the 45S precursor that also contains 18S and 28S rRNA. Functionally, it is thought that 5.8S rRNA may be involved in ribosome translocation. Lineage: Eukaryota; Metazoa; Mollusca; Gastropoda; Stylommatophora; Clausiliidae. The record is from RNAcentral.